Molecule: long non-coding RNA, 502 nt
Filed under: Hordeum vulgare
Lineage: Eukaryota; Viridiplantae; Streptophyta; Magnoliopsida; Poales; Poaceae
Description: long non-coding RNA (HVUL_LNC009170)
Source: RNAcentral
CCCCUUACAUGUAUGUUGUCUUACUCAUAUAUAUUUUCGUAGUGUGUGUGUGUGUGUGUGUGUGUGUGUAUAUAUAUAUGUAUAUAUAUAUAUAUAUGCUUUCCCAUGUAAUCAUCCUUAAUGAAUGUCAUGUUCAAUCUAUAACUAAUUGUCAUGGUAUUUUCUGACUUUUUUACGUUGUCGCUUACUGGUCUUAAGACAUGGAGAGGAGAGGCCAAAUAGCAGCUACCAUGUAGCUAUGUCAUGCAAACAAACUGAGACUGCAGAAAGUCACUCAUUGUACAAAACCAGAAAAACAAAUUGCAGCUCGAGCAUGAAAAGAGACAAUUGCGCAAAUCAAACACAUAUUCAAGUAAUAAGUUAGUGAAGGAUCAUAUUUAUCUUAUAAAUGCGCAUCUCGAGUUUACUUCACCAGCGUCAAGCUGAUGUUUGGCAAUCAUGGACCAAGUUUAUCUUUCGUCAAUUGCACAAUUUACGUGCUAAUAAUCCUCAUUUUCGUACA